GGGGAUGUAAGUUUCGACGAAGUUCAUUUCAAAUUAUAUGCAAGUAGCAGAUGGAUAUCACUGCUUUAAAUAUUAUCCAAAAUUAUAAUUGCUAAAACCAAUUAUUCAGGAGCUUUAGCUUUCGCUUAGGUUCCCGUUCCCUCAGAGAUGCUCGCUAUCUGAGAUGAGCGCCAUUAGCGAGAUACUGUGUUUAGUUUCUUGGUGUGUUUUGAGUUAAACACGGGAAAAUUUAUCAGAAUACUGGCUCGGCGAUUUUGCUGAUUUCUACAGCCGAGCACUAACAAAUCAGCUAAACUUGUAGAAUAUAAUCUGAUCAAAUUUCGGACGAGGGUUCAAUCUCUCCAUCUCCACCC
RNAcentral lists this transfer-messenger RNA (353 nucleotides) under Candidatus Yanofskybacteria bacterium RIFCSPHIGHO2_02_FULL_39_10. It matches the Rfam family "transfer-messenger RNA". From Rfam's summary of the family: Bacterial tmRNA, also known as 10Sa RNA or SsrA, is named for its dual tRNA and mRNA-like properties. Its role is to liberate the mRNA from a stalled ribosome. The record is from RNAcentral. Lineage: Bacteria; Candidatus Yanofskyibacteriota. RNAcentral also lists the same sequence under 1 other name.